Molecule: ribosomal RNA, 481 nt
Filed under: uncultured bacterium
Lineage: Bacteria
Description: partial 16S ribosomal RNA
Rfam family: Bacterial small subunit ribosomal RNA
Source: RNAcentral
GACGAACGCUGGCGGCGUGCUUAACACAUGCAAGUCGAACGGAGAUUCCGGAUGGACGUUUUCGGAUGGAAGACCGUAAUUCUUAGUGGCGGACGGGUGAGUAACGCGUGGGCAACCUGCCCUAUACAGGGGGAUAGCAGCCGGAAACGGCUGGUAAGACCGCAUAAGUCGGCGAGACCGCAUGGUUUUGCCGGGUAAUGAGCAAUCAGGUAUAGGAUGGGCCCGCGUCCGAUUAGCCAGUUGGCAGGGUAAAAGCCUGCCAAAGCAACGAUCGGUAGCCGGACUGAGAGGUCGGACGGCCACAUUGGGACUGAGGCACGGCCCAAACUCCUACGAGAGGCAGCAGUGGGGGAUAUUGCACAAUGGAGGACACUCUGAUGCAGCGGCGCCGCGUGAGUGAAGAAGUAUUUCGGUAUGUAAAGCUCUAUCAGCAGGGAAGGUGGUGACGGUACCUGAAGAAGAAGCCCCGGCUAACUACGUG